UGGAAUCAACAGAUGAAGAUGAUAUGCUUAGUUUCGUGUAGAAGUGGCGAGUGGGGCUAGUGCUAUAUUUGGAAGGAAGCUGGCGGUAGUUUGUCAAACUCUCAUUUUGGUGGAAGUCUGGAGAAGUUUGGGUUUAUUGUAGUGUGUUGAUGAAUACUUUCUCGUUUAGAAGGAGAUUAAAUUAAAUCACAUGUAAUGGCAACCAGAGGACAGGUUGCAUGCUGUGCUUAGUUGCAAGACAAUAUCCUUUUCUUCUUGAAGUUCGAGAAAAAUGUGCUCAUCUUUUCUCGGGAAAACAUGGAUGCAUCCAUGAUUUAAUUUCCGUAAGCUUGGGUAUCUUUGAUUGUGACAUCUAUGAUAGAUUGAUGACUCUGUCAAUGCAUCAGUAUAUUUUUCUUUUUGAAA
This is a long non-coding RNA of Hordeum vulgare subsp. vulgare (domesticated barley), 405 nucleotides long. RefSeq lists it as uncharacterized. The record is from RefSeq and is a predicted model, not a curated record. Lineage: Eukaryota; Viridiplantae; Streptophyta; Magnoliopsida; Poales; Poaceae. The transcript has 2 exons.